AUGGCCAGCAAUGGCAUGGCGUCCUCUCCCUCCGCCUUCUUCCCUCCGAAUUUCCUCCUCCACAUGCAGCAAGCACCACCGCAGCAUGACCCCCAAGAACACCACCAGCAGCACCACCACCACCACCAUGAGCACCACCUCCCUCCUCCCCAUCCCCAGCACAACCCCUUCCUCCCCUCCCCCCAAUGCCCCUCCCUCCAGGACUUCCGUGGCGGUCUGUCGCCAAUGCUGGGGAAGCGCCCGGCGAUGUACGGGGGCGGCGGCGACGGGGGCUGCGGCGGCGACGAGGUGACCGGCGGAGGCGCGAACGAGGAGGAGACGUCGGACGACGGGUCGCAGCUGGGCGGCGAGAAGAAGCGGCGGCUGAACGUGGAGCAGGUGCGGACGCUGGAGAAGAACUUCGAGGUGGCCAACAAGCUGGAGCCGGAGCGCAAGAUGCAGCUGGCCCGCGCGCUGGGGCUGCAGCCGCGGCAGGUGGCCAUCUGGUUCCAGAACCGCCGCGCCCGGUGGAAGACAAAGCAGCUGGAGAAGGACUACGACGUGCUCAAGCGCCAGUUCGACGCCGUCAAGGCCGAGAACGACGCCCUCCUCUCCCACAACAAGAAGCUCCAGUCCGAGAUACUGGGACUGAAGGGAUGCAGGGAGGCGGCGUCGGAGCUGAUCAACCUCAACAAGGAGACGGAGGCGUCCUGCAGCAACCGCAGCGAGAACAGCUCCGAGAUCAACCUCGACAUCUCGCGCACGCCGCCGUCCGACGGCCCCAUGGACGCUCCGCCCUCGCACCAGCAGGGCGGCGGGGGCGGGGGCAUGAUCCCCUUCUACCCCUCCGUCGCGCGCCCCGCGGGCGUCGACAUCGACCAUCUCCUCCACGCCUCCGUCCCCAAGAUGGAGCACCACCACGGCGGCCCCGACACGCCCAGCUUCGGCAACCUGCUGUGCGGCGUCGACGAGCCGCCGCCGUUCUGGCCGUGGGCGGAUCACCAGCAGUUCAACUGA
Molecule: ribosomal RNA, 996 nt
Filed under: Triticum aestivum (bread wheat)
Lineage: Eukaryota; Viridiplantae; Streptophyta; Magnoliopsida; Poales; Poaceae
Description: partial small subunit ribosomal RNA
Source: RNAcentral